Molecule: ribosomal RNA, 1108 nt
Filed under: uncultured Pseudomonadota bacterium
Lineage: Bacteria; Pseudomonadati; Pseudomonadota
Description: bacterial SSU rRNA
Rfam family: Bacterial small subunit ribosomal RNA
Source: RNAcentral
GAGUUUGAUUAUGGCUCAGAGUGAACGCUGGCGGCGUGCUUAACACAUGCAAGUCGAACGAGAACGGAUUAUAGCUUGCUAUAAUUGUCAGCUAAGUGGCGCACGGGUGAGUAAUGUAUAGAUAACCUGCCCUUAAGAAAGGAAUAACAGUUGGAAACGACUGCUAAUGCCCUAUAUGCCUUUAAUACAUAAGUAUGCAAGGGAAACGCUUUAGUGCUUAAGGAUGGGUCUGUAUGGUAUCAGCUUGUUGGUGAGGUAAUGGCUCACCAAGGCUAUGACGCCUAACUGGUUUGAGAGGAUGAUCAGUCACACUGGAACUGAGACACGGUCCAGACUCCUACGGGAGGCAGCAGUGGGGAAUAUUGCACAAUGGACGAAAGUCUGAUGCAGCAACGCCGCGUGGAGGAUGACACAUUUCGGUGCGUAAACUCCUUUUAUAUAGGAAGAUAAUGACGGUACUAUAUGAAUAAGCACCGGCUAACUCCGUGCCAGCAGCCGCGGUAAUACGGAGGGUGCAAGCGUUACUCGGAAUCACUGGGCGUAAAGAGCGUGUAGGUGGGUAUAUAAGUCAGAAGUGAAAUCCAAUAGCUCAACUAUUGAACUGCUUUUGAAACUGUAUACCUAGAAUGUGGGAGAGGUAGAUGGAAUUUCUGGUGUAGGGGUAAAAUCCGUAGAGAUCAGAAGGAAUACCGAUUGCGAAGGCGAUCUACUGGAACAUUAUUGACGCUGAGACGCGAAAGCGUGGGGAGCAAACAGGAUUAGAUACCCUGGUAGUCCACGCCCUAAACGAUGUACACUAGUUGUUGUGAGGCUCGACCUUGCAGUAAUGCAGUUAACACAUUAAGUGUACCGCCUGGGGAGUACGGUCGCAAGAUUAAAACUCAAAGGAAUAGACGGGGACCCGCACAAGCGGUGGAGCAUGUGGGUUUAAUUUCGACGAUACACGAAGAACCCUUACCUGGGACUUGACAUAGUAAGAAACUUUUCUAGAGAUAGAUUGGGUGUCUGGCUUGCAGAAACUUAAUAAUACAGUUGCCUGCACGACCUGGUCGGUCAGGCUUCGUGUCGUGGAGAUGCUGAGUUAGGUCCCGUCAACCGGAGGCUCGAU